CAGCACCGCGGUAAUACGUAGGUGGCAAGCGUUGUCCGGAAUUAUUGGGCGUAAAGGGCUCGCAGGCGGUUUCUUAAGUCUGAUGUGAAAGCCCCCGGCUCAACCGGGGAGGGUCAUUGGAAACUGGGAAACUUGAGUGCAGAAGAGGAGAGUGGAAUUCCACGUGUAGCGGUGAAAUGCGUAGAGAUGUGGAGGAACACCAGUGGUGAAGGCGACUCUCUGGUCUGUAACUGACGCUGAGGAGCGAAAGCGUGGGGAGCGAACAGGAUUAGAUACCCCUGUAGUCCCUGUCUCUUAUACA
Molecule: ribosomal RNA, 301 nt
Filed under: uncultured bacterium
Lineage: Bacteria
Description: partial 16S ribosomal RNA
Rfam family: Bacterial small subunit ribosomal RNA
Source: RNAcentral